Long non-coding RNA from Telopea speciosissima, 171 nucleotides. RefSeq lists it as uncharacterized. The transcript is spliced from 3 exons. Lineage: Eukaryota; Viridiplantae; Streptophyta; Magnoliopsida; Proteales; Proteaceae. The record is from RefSeq and is a predicted model, not a curated record.
UUCCUUCUUGUGCUCUCCGGCUCUCAUGUCAAUGGGGACAACCUCGAAUUCGACACCUUUCUCGUGGAGGGUAGCGAAGGCUCGCAUUGUUGCAGUGGAGAAUACGCUUCCGUGAACCUUGGGAGCCAUGGCUGCUUGUUAGAGAGAGAGAGAGAGAGAGAGAGAGAGAGA